GACGAACGCUGGCGGCGUGCCUAACACAUGCAAGUCGAACGGAACUGUUUUGAAAGAUUUCUUCGGAAUGAAUUUGAUUUAGUUUAGUGGCGGACGGGUGAGUAACGCGUGAGUAACCUGCCUUCAAGAGGGGAAUAACAUUCUGAAAAGAAUGCUAAUACCGCAUGACAUAUCGGAACCACAUGGUUUUGAUAUCAAAGAUUUUAUCGCUUGAAGAUGGACUCGCGUCCGAUUAGUUAGUUGGUGAGGUAACGGCUCACCAAGACCGCGAUCGGUAGCCGGACUGCGAGGUUGAGCGGCCACAUUGGGACUGAGGCACGGCCCAGACUCCUACGGGAGGCAGCAGUGGGGGAUAUUGCGCAAUGGGGGCAACCCUGACGCAGCAACGCCGCGUGAAGGAUGAAGGUUUUCGGAUUGUAAACUUCUUUUAUUAAGGACGAAAAAUGACGGUACUUAAUGAAUAAGCUCCGGCUAACUACGUG
RNAcentral lists this ribosomal RNA (482 nucleotides) under uncultured bacterium. RNAcentral's name for it is "partial 16S ribosomal RNA". It matches the Rfam family "Bacterial small subunit ribosomal RNA", at positions 28 to 507 of the family's 1533-position model. The record is from RNAcentral.